RNAcentral lists this long non-coding RNA (1162 nucleotides) under Daphnia magna. Its description in RNAcentral is "uncharacterized LOC116923082, transcript variant X1". The record is from RNAcentral. Lineage: Eukaryota; Metazoa; Arthropoda; Branchiopoda; Diplostraca; Daphniidae.
CAUGAUGUCAUAGUACAAUAUAAACUGUAAAGUUUGAUCAAACACAUCUAGAAAAUUGGCAGUGUUUUGUGUGAUUUCUUUGAAGUUGGUAGCAACUCUUCCAUGUUGAUUUUGGUAUAGUAAUUGAAUGCAACUUCCAAUUUAAGUGCACAGACUAUGAAUGUAGUCUGUGAUAAGUUUAGUAAGAGAAGAACUUUAUUGGAUCACCUUGCAACCUCUUACUUUCAUUUGAAAGUAAUUCAACACUCAUGCAACCACCAUUUAGACAUCUUAAAAACAUAUUUUAGGAUAUGCAAACUAUGGCACUAAGUUAAUGUCUCCAUACUUCGCAUGUUUGUCUCAUGUGAAAAAGAAUGAAAAUGGAAUGUGAUGCUUAGUUAGCAUAAUGAGGUCAGAAGAUCGCCCAACAUCUAUGGAAAAAUGACUUAGCUGAUGCUACAUUUAGCAGGUUGGCUUUAUUGGAGAACUGUUAAAUAUUUGAUAUUCAUAGUGUUCGCAAGGCUUUUAAGAAAAUAGUUUUCAUUGCACUAGCGACAAUUCGGAAUGGCAAGGUGCGAAUGAUUCGGAUUAAAAGUCAGCGUGGAAAUGCAAUAGAUUCGCAGCUGGCAACAAAUUAGAGGACGAUUGGUGAUGAGACAAUUUAUUAUAAUCGCUGUAACGAAGUACGUACUACCCGAUUUAAACAGUUCAACGCGGAAUCAACUUACCAUCCAGCAACGCAUCCAUCAACAGAAUGUAUUAAAGAGGAAAGUAAUUGACCAAAUGCCGACUCGACGAUUCCCAUGCAAGAUAAAUGUUAUAAAUCCAAGGAGAUUUGGUGAGCGGAAUGCAACGGGCUAUGUCAUAUCAAACCAUUAGCUGAAUACAAUGAAUACCAUCACUUCACCAGAACGAGAGGUUAAUAAUCAUACUGGAUCAAAAGAGGCAUCAAGUUAAACGAGAUUUUAAAAUGAUAACAGUUGGAAGCGCAUGUAGAAAUUUCGAAGAACGCUACCUAAACGUUAUCUUUAGUCACAGAUUCAUCUCGAAGAUAAAAUAAGUUAUUUUUAUAAAUUUAAGUGCAUAUCUGGGCUCCCUUCUUUUAUGUGGCCCCGUUUCCCCUUGACUUAUGAUAAGCCCGUAGGGGGUCAUGCCCCUACUGUGAUCAGCAGCAAAGGUUGUG